This is a non-coding RNA of Phascolarctos cinereus (koala), 1030 nucleotides long. NCBI's taxonomy places the organism in Eukaryota, Metazoa, Chordata, Mammalia, Diprotodontia, Phascolarctidae. The record is from RefSeq and is a predicted model, not a curated record.
GGGGCAGCUCAAAAGUGAAAUUUUGAAGGCACAAAAGGAAACAAAUCAGCUGAGAAAAACUGGAUCUUUUUGAAGAGUGAUGUAGAUGCGCAAGGAACUCACCAACCAACUUCAAAUUCUGAACAGAAGAUUGAAGGCAACAGAGGUUAACUAAAAACACAGCAGGAUUCUGAAAGAAGAGUGUCAUGAGUCAGGAUUGAUUGAGGUUGGCAAGAAACACCAAAAGUAGAUUUGUGUUUUCUUCUUCAUCUAAAGCUCAAUGAAGGGAAAGAGAAGAAUCACAGAAAGGAUAGACACACUGCCACAAGUGGAGAACGUGUUGAUAACUGAAUUCUUAUUUUGCUUCUGUUUUCUCUGCCAAAAAAUAACCUUUGGAUGGGAAAGAAUAGAGUGAAAAUGACUAAGAGGGAGCUGAUGCCCAGGAUUUGUAAGGGAACAGUUAAUGAGCACUUAGCUACCAUUUUGAUGAAUUGAGUACUUGGGUAAUGAAAUAAUUAGCAGAUGUGAUCGAUGAACACCUGUUAUUAAUAUUUAACAGAUCACAUAAAAGAGAGAUAAGUCAUGUGCAAAAAUUAACUAUAAAAAGCAUUUAACCCUCAAGGUACACUGCUAGCCACUUACCUGAGCCUGCCCAACAUGAAGAGUCAAGAGCUGGGGAGUUCCAUGCUCAUCCUGCCAAUUAUGUGCUCCAUCUCAAUAAACAGAAAUGCAGAGAAAAUGUGAAGUUCUCUAGGAUUCUCAGGGAGUAGAUAACCUUCUCUUCUCUAGAUUUGAUACUUGCUGAUUGGCUGUGACAUCUCAUCAAUAGUACAGUUGCUCCUAGAUGUUGAGGGAAAAAGCAGAAGAGACUGAUUACUUUUCCAGCUUCUGAAGUUAUCCCCACAAGCCCCGAACACUGAUUCUUAUAAAACUUGUAUCAAGAAGGCUGAAAACCAGAAGGCACUGAGGCAAACCAUGAGUGCUAAAGGUGGAGAAUUCAGAUCUCUUGGAACACCAUUUCUGCCGUUGGUAAAUUCAGCUGGUUAUUUGG